GUGCUCACAUCAGUAGCACACACGCUAAAAUUGGAACGACACAGAGAAGACUAGAUGGCUCCUGUGCAGGGAUGACGUGCAAAUUUGUGAAGUGUUUCCUAUUUUU
Ictidomys tridecemlineatus (thirteen-lined ground squirrel) is the source of this 106-nucleotide small nuclear RNA. The record is from Ensembl. Lineage: Eukaryota; Metazoa; Chordata; Mammalia; Rodentia; Sciuridae.